UACGUAGGGGGCUAGCGUUGUCCGGAAUCAUUGGGCGUAAAGCGCGCGUAGGCGGCCCGGUAAGUCCGUUGUGAAAGUCAAAGGCUCAACCUUUGAAAGCCGAUGGAUACUGCCGGGCUAGAGUCCGGAAGAGGCGAGUGGAAUUCCUGGUGUAGCGGUGGAAUGCGCAGAUAUCAGGAGGAACACCAAUGGCGAAGGCAGCUCGCUGGGACGUUACUGACGCUGAGACGCGAAAGCGUGGGGAGCAAACAGG
RNAcentral lists this ribosomal RNA (253 nucleotides) under uncultured bacterium. RNAcentral's name for it is "partial 16S ribosomal RNA". It matches the Rfam family "Bacterial small subunit ribosomal RNA", at positions 524 to 776 of the family's 1533-position model. The record is from RNAcentral.